This 78-nucleotide transfer RNA is filed under the name Pyrodictium sp. Its description in RNAcentral is "tRNA-Ile". It matches the Rfam family "tRNA". From Rfam's summary of the family: Transfer RNA (tRNA) molecules are approximately 80 nucleotides in length. Their secondary structure includes four short double-helical elements and three loops (D, anti-codon, and T loops). Lineage: Archaea; Thermoproteati; Thermoproteota; Thermoprotei; Desulfurococcales; Pyrodictiaceae. The record is from RNAcentral.
GGGCCCGUAGCUCAGCCCGGUCAGAGCGCCCGGCUGAUAACCGGGAGGUCCGGGGUUCAAAUCCCCGCGGGCCCACCA